GAUGAACGCUGGCGGCGUGCUUAACACAUGCAAGUCGAACGGAAAGGCCCAAGCUUGCUUGGGUACUCGAGUGGCGAACGGGUGAGUAACACGUGGGUGAUCUGCCCUGCACUUCGGGAUAAGCCUGGGAAACUGGGUCUAAUACCGGAUAGGACCACGUCUUGGAUGUUGUGGUGGAAAGUUUUUUCGGUGUGGGAUGAGCUCGCGGCCUAUCAGCUUGUUGGUGGGGUAAUGGCCUACCAAGGCGUCGACGGGUAGCCGGCCUGAGAGGGUGUACGGCCACAUUGGGACUGAGAUACGGGCCAGACUCCUAAGGGAGGCAGCAGUGGGGAAUAUUGCACAAUGGGCGCAAGCCUGAUGCAGCGACGCCGCGUGGGGGAUGACGGCCUUCGGGUUGUAAACUCCUUUCGCUAGGGACGAAGCGUUUUUGUGACGGUACCUGGAGAAGAAGCACCGGCUAACUACGUG
RNAcentral lists this ribosomal RNA (468 nucleotides) under uncultured bacterium. Its description in RNAcentral is "partial 16S ribosomal RNA". It matches the Rfam family "Bacterial small subunit ribosomal RNA", at positions 28 to 507 of the family's 1533-position model. The record is from RNAcentral.